CAUUCUCGAGCUUUCUUAUUCUUUCGCGCCGCGUUUCACAGGUCGUUAGAUACCACGGAUCUCUUGAGAAAAUUACAGAAACCCACGUGGCAAGAAAAGUGGAUAUUUGGAAAAGGUUGAGCAGCUGACAGUCAACUGUGUAUUCGAAAUAUACAACAUACGUUUUAGAAAAUGACACGUAAAAGAAAAAGUAACGACUGCUAUUCAGAUAGACAUAAACGUCGACUCGUUGAACAACAAACUAAAUUAAGUAUUAUUAGAAU
Molecule: long non-coding RNA, 263 nt
Filed under: Neodiprion lecontei (redheaded pine sawfly)
Lineage: Eukaryota; Metazoa; Arthropoda; Insecta; Hymenoptera; Diprionidae
Description: uncharacterized LOC124293047
Source: RNAcentral